This 242-nucleotide ribosomal RNA is filed under the name uncultured bacterium. RNAcentral describes it as "partial 16S ribosomal RNA". It matches the Rfam family "Bacterial small subunit ribosomal RNA", at positions 118 to 347 of the family's 1533-position model. The record is from RNAcentral.
UGGGUAACCUGCCUCAAAGAGGGGAAUAGCCUCCCGAAAGGGAGAUUAAUACCGCAUGAUAUGUUUAAGCCGCAUGACUUUAACAUCAAAGGAUUUUCUUUUAGAAAUUCCACUUUGAGAUGGACCCGCGGCGCAUUAGCUAGUUGGUGAGGUAACGGCUCACCAAGGCAACGAUGCGUAGCCGACCUGAGAGGGUNAUCCGGCCACAUUGGAACUGAGACACGGCCCAGACUCUACGGGAG